UCUCUCUAGCUCUCCAUCUCUCUCUAAAACCGAAACACUCCCCCUUUCUACUCUCCAUUUAUGAAAUUCUUUCUCUCCAUGAGCCAAGAGCACUCAUUUCCCCAUUGAAGGAGGGAGAAGCUCAAGAGAAACACUUGUGAAGACCAUGCAUAGCAUUGAUCUUGUGUUGUAGGGUUCAAGAGAAGCUUGUACGGGUAGAAUCUCAAGAAUUUAGCACUUUAGUGAUCAAGUGAAAGCAAGGUAAGAGAUCUUGGUAGUUUGCAUAUUUUCUCCCUCAUCUAGGUCUUUCUACCCUAAAUCUCUCUUAAAAAUCUGCAUGUGAGACUUUGGGGCUCGAUUUGAGAGUGUAGAGCACAAGGGGGAGUUCGAGGAAGCUAAGGAAGACACAUCUCCAAGCUAGAACUGCCAAAGGUAAGUGCAAAAGUAAAGUGGAGUAAUGAGCGUCGGAGUCUGCUUGUGGAUAUGUACACGUGGCCUGACCUGGGGAGGUUUUUGAUGGAUCACCAUUUUGAAAAUAAAAAGUCGGAAGUUUGCUAUUUCUUUUGAGAUAAUUGUCUUGUUAUAACUCUGUGGAAGAUUAGUUGUAUUAUAAGUCCUCGAUUUGUUGGCCCAUUCGAGAUUUUAGAGAGAAUUGGGGAAGUGGCUUAUAGGUUAGCCAUGCCUCCAACUUUGUUAGGAGUGCGUAACAUUUUUCAUGUGUCCAUGUUACACAAGUAUGUUUCAGACCCGUCUCACAUCCUUAGUUAUGAGGCAUAGGAUAUGCAACCAGACCUAUCAUAUGAAGAGAAGCCAGUUGUUGACGUGGUUUUUUGCCACCAGUGUAUUUUAGAAAUAAUAAGGUUGAUUAGUGCUUAAUAAUAAACUGAAAUAUGAAAUAGAUUUGGA
Humulus lupulus (European hop) is the source of this 885-nucleotide long non-coding RNA. RefSeq lists it as uncharacterized. The record is from RefSeq and is a predicted model, not a curated record. Lineage: Eukaryota; Viridiplantae; Streptophyta; Magnoliopsida; Rosales; Cannabaceae. The transcript has 3 exons.